RNAcentral lists this long non-coding RNA (551 nucleotides) under Pan troglodytes (chimpanzee). RNAcentral describes it as "lincRNA". Lineage: Eukaryota; Metazoa; Chordata; Mammalia; Primates; Hominidae. The record is from RNAcentral.
AGCCCGGCUGUGACGGCUGAGGCCGGGCUCCUGGAGGCAAAGCCACCUCAGGCCUCCAGGGCUGGAGCCGCAGGGAGCUGCUGGGUUUCCACAGGGCCACGGGGGCUGCAGCCACACGGAGCGGGAGCACAGGUGGGGACACUGAGGCUGAGCUCACAGCCAGGACGGGGACAGCAGAGUGACGGCCGAGACCAUCUGCCCCGCGAGGGAAGCAGCGCCCACCUUCCUUGGUGGUCCGGGAAGGCCGGACUGGCCCCUUGGGUCCCCACCAGCCACAGCCACUGUGGGCUCGUCCAGCUUCAGCUGCCAGGAGAGGCCAGGCCAAGGUCAGGAGGCUCAGCAGCGGGUUCCGUGACUUCCUCUUUGCUGAGGAGGUCAGGACAGAAGCUUCUAGAUGACAGGCCGCUCAACUUGGUAUAAAACAGCAAAUUUCUGUGCCUGUGCUGUCGGGCUGUGAAUGACUUCCCGUCUGUUUCAUGAGAUGCAGCUUCAGCCCAGGGAGGCAUCAGAUGCAGCCGGGCCAGACGCGGAGCCAAGAGCUGUCCUCGCCC